UACGUAGGGGGCAAGCGUUGUCCGGAAUUAUUGGGCGUAAAGAGCGCGUAGGCGGUCCGGUAAGUCGGUUGUGAAAGUCGGGGGCUCAACCCUCGGAUGCCGAUCGAUACUGUCGGGCUAGAGUGCGGAAGAGGCGAGUGGAAUUCCUGGUGUAGCGGUGAAAUGCGCAGAUAUCAGGAGGAACACCGAUGGCGAAGGCAGCUCGCUGGGACGGUACUGACGCUGAGGCGCGAAAGCGUGGGGAGCGAACAGG
This 253-nucleotide ribosomal RNA is filed under the name uncultured bacterium. RNAcentral describes it as "partial 16S ribosomal RNA". It matches the Rfam family "Bacterial small subunit ribosomal RNA", at positions 524 to 776 of the family's 1533-position model. The record is from RNAcentral.